UAGCCAAAACGGAUAAAAUAAGCAAUUUCUUCAUUGUCUAGUUACAAAAUCCAUUAGUUUCUGUUAAAGAAGUAAGAUACUGCUAAAUAGAUACAUAUAGAUUGAACAAUGAAUCAGUAGAAACAGAGUCUGUUGCCAAUGUGUUCAGCUCAAACCCCAUUUAGGUUUUGUCUGCGUGCAACUAUGGAAAGAAGUCUAGAAACCCCUUGAGUCCAAAUAUCAUAUUCUCUUUGAUUUCUGCAUUCAAACUCCACAACUCCCCUUACUUCUGUCUUCAAUCCAAAGUAUCUUCUUUCUUCACCCUCAUCAACCAGAUGCCUUCCUGGCCAUGCAGCUAAAUUUGUGCACACAUCCAAAACAACAUCUGCAAAUACAAUUUGAACCAAAACUUAUGAACUGCUUUUAUGGCACCAAAAUAAAGUUAGGUGAUUGAUUACUCUUUUUCUUUUUGGUGAUAGUUCCUGCAACGUGUCUGCUCUUCAUUUUCAACAUUACCUGAAAUUGUUGCUAUAAUUGUGAUGAAUGGGCACCGACUCAAUUCCAUUUCAUAUGACCUUUUGAAAGAAUAAAUACCUCGCCUGUUCGAUGUAUAUAAACUGAAACUAUUUUCCAGUGAAGAUCACCUACAGCAAUCACCAAAAUUGAGUUUAAUAAUUCUGUAAAUAAGAGAAAAUUCUCAUUUUGCUAAUCUAUUGCUGUGUUUGUUAGUUACUGAAAUUACCUUUGCGCGUCCGUUUGAGUAAUGCAGUGCCCCUAGCAAGGAGCUCUUGGUUGCAUGCACCCAAAACAUUGUCACCAUUCAUAAUCUCCCCACUGUCACUGGUGCUAGAAUUACUGUUUUUGCUUUUACCACAUCUUCCAAUACCUGUUCCUCUCUCUAAUGGAGUCACUGCGUUAAUAUUCCACACCUCCUUCAAUGCUCUUGCUUUCAAGGUUGCUGCCCCACGUAGAGCUGCACAUUAAAGGAUCACAUUCACGUCCUUCUUAAGGGAUCAAUAAAAAAUGAAACUACAUAUCCUGCUGCAGCUGUAAGUGUUGAAAUAUCAUCAUGAGAGCGGACAUUGACGGCAGAGCUAACCACAGAAGCAAGGUGAUCUCUCUCAGCUCCCAUUGCUUCAGCGGCCUCUACACACUGAGCAGCAACUAAAGUGGCCGCAGAAGCAACGGACAUGGCCAUCUUCUCAUCCUUGGUAGCUGCAGAUGUGGCUGCUGUUGCGGCAGUGACAGCUGCAACAGCAGCUGCUACGGCAGCAACAGAAACUGCAGCAUGAAGUUGAGCAUUAUGGGUUCUGUUUUCUUCUUUCUUCUUUUCUCUUCUGUCUUUCAACCAUCUUCCUACUGUUUUAGGUCCGGAGCUAGGAGUGGCAUUGCCUGUAGCACCACUCAUGGCUCGUCCACCAUUGAAUAAGGGAUGAAUGGAGUUGUUUGCCCGAAAAAACUGCAGUAGAUUGAUGAGGUUUGGCAUUAUUGUUCUUCAUCGUUGACCAAUUUAACAUUAUGAAGUUGUUCCAUCUCAAAUCGAGAGAUUGCUUAGUGUUGGCUAAACUGAUUUUUAAUAAAACUAAGUUGAUUAAGCUUUAACAUAAAAUUUCCUUUAAGUGUAAAAAUUAUCUAAAAUUGUUUAAAUUCAGAAUCAAAUACAUAAUUCAUUAAAAAGUAACAUAAUUGCUAUUUCAGCAUGAUUAAGAAGAAUCUAAUUCGACCAGACAUGCGCUUUAUCAGUUUCUGUUUAAUCUUUCAUUUAAUGGUUCCUGUGAUAUGGGUAAGAACAUUAAACAGAUUUUGGACUUGCAGAAAAAACCCCACUAGUCUUUUCCUGUGCCAACUCUAGCUUUGGUUCAUUUCUAGUAAAAAGGACAAAUUGGACUUUUUCUAUCUGCGAGCAAAAUUUCCAAAACAAGAAGAUUGUUUUGUUUGCGUGAAUGCGAAGAUAAGGUACACUGAACAGUCAAAACCUUUGUCCUGUUGUGAGACAAUCACCUGGCAGGUAAGACAACUUAACUGGAA
This 2007-nucleotide small RNA is filed under the name Vigna angularis var. angularis. Its description in RNAcentral is "Non-protein coding transcript". The record is from RNAcentral. Lineage: Eukaryota; Viridiplantae; Streptophyta; Magnoliopsida; Fabales; Fabaceae.